CAAAGCACUUUAUAUUUUUUUGGCAAUCACCGUGUGAGAAAAAAAACGUGAAAUCAGAAUCUCUCUUUAGCUGUCCGAAUCCGACAGAUAAUAGAGAGACAGUUGUAAGAAAGAAACAGAAGGCGCGAAAAAGAGAGAAGAACGAUCAAAGGACAUGGAUCAUGAUUCAUGAUCCUUCAAACGCGAAAUCCAACCAAUGCCCGCCUCUAACCAACCCAUCUCCGACGCCGUUUCGAGGUGCCUACCACCGGCGACCACACUCCGAGGUCCAUUUCCGUCUCCCCGAAGAUCUAUUCUAGAUCUCUCCGAACCGUUCAGAGGAUUCGACGAACUUGAAUCCGAGGAUGACCUCUUCUGCUCUUACAUGGACGUCGAGAAACUCGGAUCCGUAUCCGGUAACAACCCAAGCGAGCUAAAAGGAUAAUUGCUAAUAGACAAUCUGCAGCUCGUUCAAAAGAGAAAAAGGCUCUCGGUAUAUAAUGGAGCUCGAGUGGAAAGUUCAGACACUGCAAACUGAAGCUACUACCCUCUCAACAUAAACUCUCCUUGUUCCAGAGAGAGACACAACUGGUUUGUCAUCUGAGAAUACAGAGCUCAAACUUCGUUUACAAGUCAUGGAACAACAAGCCAAGUUGCGAGAUGCCCUUAACGACCAACUGAAAAAGGAAGUCGAGAGCCUGAAUUUCGCAACGGGAGAAGUCUCUCACACGCUGAUGCAUAUAACCUCGGAAUGCCACACAUGCAAUACUCUCAACAACAAUCACUCUUUCAACAGUAUCAUCAUCAGCAGCAACAAAGUAGUGAUGCUCAAAACCUGCAACAAAUGACACAUCACUGAUGAGUCAUCAGUUUCAUCUCUUCCAGCCGAACAACAAUAACCACUACAAGAAAAUAGUUAUAUAUUGCAACUAAAAAAUUGUUACGUGCAUUCUCAUUAAUAAUUUGCUAUGAUUAUGAUAGUUUUAUUAUUGACGUUAAUUAUUAGGCAAUAAUAAUAAUUAUAGUUUUAUUA
Long non-coding RNA from Raphanus sativus (radish), 1012 nucleotides. RefSeq lists it as uncharacterized. NCBI's taxonomy places the organism in Eukaryota, Viridiplantae, Streptophyta, Magnoliopsida, Brassicales, Brassicaceae. The transcript has 4 exons. The record is from RefSeq and is a predicted model, not a curated record.